UGCAUUAGGUCUCCUGCCUUGAGCAGGGGGUCGGACCCAAUGGCCUUAGAGGCCCCUUCCAGCCCUAUUGUGUUAUGAUUCUAUGUCCUUGGAACAAUGAGUUAGCAAUUUUCAGGUUGGCCUCCAUCAAAGACCACGAUAUGAAGUGAUUGUCCUCGUCUACAACAGAAGAGCAUAGCAUGGAGCGUUAUCUCUCUUCUGCUCUUAAAAUGACGUCUCCUUUGCUCCAGCCCUUCCUUUACUGAGUGAACCAGCGCCAGGGUGAGUUACUACUUCAUACUGUCUUGACAGAUGCCUCUGGGCAGCCAUGCGGGAGUUGAAGAAAGGAUGAAUGGCAGACUCAAAGGAAGGUUGACAUUCUCCAUCCAAGCCAGGCAGGCAAACAGAUGCCGAUGUCUGGAAAGUUGUCAGUGGUUAGGAACCAUGGAGUGAAACCUCACGCAUCAGGAGUCAGGAGGAGAACCUUCCAUCCAUGGAGAAAAGAUCAGAUGUUGGGAGCUGCUUGGGAAACCAUGCGUCCCUCAGUUGCCCUGGGCAGCCUCUUGGGGACUUGGCAGCGAUUCAUGCACUGAUCAAUUAAAUCCUGUCAUGACACAGAAUCAUUUGGAUGGAGGGUGCAAUAUUUAUAAUCUCUCUUCCCCCCCCUCUCUUGGAUACAGUCACAAAGUUAGAAAUGAUAAAUGCCUCACCCAAGGGAACACGUCCUACUGAUAAGCUGAGCUGAAUAUAUAAGUCAAGAGUUACAAAUCUCUUGCCUGCAGGAUUCACCAUGAGCUCCUCAGACAUCGAAGAGCCCUCCGAGUGCCUGCUGUCAGAUAAAAAGCGAGAGGCUCAAGGGAUCCUUGACUUGAAUUCUACAAGAUUCGAGGUGCGUCCGUUUAGGAGGAAAGCCAAAGCACUGAAGUGUUUCGUUAAACCACACAUCUUGAUGGGGCGACACCCCUCUCUGACUAAGGCCGGGAACUUUGCUUUCAACGCCACUCCAUUCUUUUCAUAAUUUAGGCUUUGAUAGAAAAAACUGCAAGAUGAUUACAUUCAGGAUGUGUGGUUUUUGUUUUUUUUUUACAUUUUUCAGCUUGGGGUCUUACUUACCAAUUACACUUUCAAAUUUUGGCAACUUUAACCUUUUUAAAAUAAGAAAAUCAAUUUCCUCUAGCCAAAAAAAACAAACAAAAAAAAACCCAAAAACACCCAUGACUACAAAAUUCUCAUUAAUAUGGAUUCAGUAUAAAUGGUGAAGUAGGAAUGAAAAUGGGCAAUUAUUACUGUAUAGUUUAGGUGCCUGAUUUAAAAGUCCAUGUGGUUCUCCAUUUUUCCCUAUAGUUUUGCUAACGUCAAGAAUUGGAAAACUCGGCCAUUUUCUGGACCAGUUUUGAGAACACUCCUGUAUUUGCCUACAGAUGGAGGUCCUGAUCCUCAUCAAUACGAGUUGAUUUCCCACCCACCC
Molecule: long non-coding RNA, 1447 nt
Filed under: Pogona vitticeps (central bearded dragon)
Lineage: Eukaryota; Metazoa; Chordata; Lepidosauria; Squamata; Agamidae
Description: lncRNA (ENSPVIG00000006140.1)
Source: RNAcentral